GCCUGCAUGGUGUAGUGGUUUGAAUGCUGGACUAGGAUUCUGGGGACCACUGUUCAAAUUCCUGUUUGGCCA
Molecule: non-coding RNA, 72 nt
Organism: Phrynosoma platyrhinos (Desert horned lizard)
Lineage: Eukaryota; Metazoa; Chordata; Lepidosauria; Squamata; Phrynosomatidae
Source: the annotation of a GenBank genome assembly